RNAcentral lists this ribosomal RNA (253 nucleotides) under uncultured bacterium. RNAcentral describes it as "partial 16S ribosomal RNA". It matches the Rfam family "Bacterial small subunit ribosomal RNA", at positions 524 to 776 of the family's 1533-position model. The record is from RNAcentral.
UACGGGGGGGGCAAGCGUUGUUCGGAUUCAUUGGGCGUAAAGGGUGCGUAGGCGGCGCGGUAAGUCGGGUGUGAAAUCUCGGAGCUUAACUCCGAAACUGCAUUCGAUACUGCCGUGCUUGAGGACUGGAGAGGAGACUGGAAUUUACGGUGUAGCGGUGAAAUGCGUAGAUAUCGUAAGGAAGACCAGUGGCGAAGGCGGGUCUCUGGACAGUUCCUGACGCUGAGGCACGAAGGUCAGGGGAGCAAACGGG